RNAcentral lists this ribosomal RNA (547 nucleotides) under uncultured bacterium. RNAcentral's name for it is "bacterial SSU rRNA". It matches the Rfam family "Bacterial small subunit ribosomal RNA", at positions 202 to 769 of the family's 1533-position model. The record is from RNAcentral.
AAAAACCCAGGUGGUGUGAGAUGGAUCCGCGUCUGAUUAGCCAGUUGGCGGGGUAACGGCCCACCAAAGCGACGAUCAGUAGCCGACCUGAGAGGGUGACCGGCCACAUUGGGACUGAGACACGGCCCAAACUCCUACGGGAGGCAGCAGUGGGGAAUAUUGCACAAUGGGCGGAAGCCUGAUGCAGCGACGCCGCGUGAGUGAAGAAGUAUCUCGGUAUGUAAAGCUCUAUCAGCAGGGAAGAAAAUGACGGUACCUGACUAAGAAGCCCCGGCUAACUACGUGCCAGCAGCCGCGGUAAUACGUAGGGGGCAAGCGUUAUCCGGAUUUACUGGGUGUAAAGGGAGCGUAGACGGCGACGCAAGUCUGGAGUGAAAGCCCGGGGCCCAACCCCGGGACUGCUUUGGAAACUGUGCUGCUGGAGUGCAGGAGAGGUAAGUGGAAUUCCUAGUGUAGCGGUGAAAUGCGUAGAUAUUAGGAGGAACACCAGUGGCGAAGGCGGCUUACUGGACUGUAACUGACGUUGAGGCUCGAAAGCGUGGGGAGC